RNAcentral lists this ribosomal RNA (253 nucleotides) under uncultured bacterium. RNAcentral describes it as "partial 16S ribosomal RNA". It matches the Rfam family "Bacterial small subunit ribosomal RNA", at positions 524 to 776 of the family's 1533-position model. The record is from RNAcentral.
UACGUAGGUGGCGAGCGUUGUCCGGAAUUACUGGGUGUAAAGGGCGUGUAGGCGGGGGAACAAGUCGGAUGUGAAAUACCGUGGCUUAACCACGGGGCUGCAUCUGAAACUGUUUUUCUUGAGUGUCGGAGAGGAAAGUGGAAUUCCCAGUGUAGCGGUGAAAUGCGUAGAUAUUGGGAGGAACACCAGUGGCGAAGGCGACUUUCUGGACGAUAACUGACGCUGAGGCGCGAAAGCGUGGGGAGCAAACAGG